Molecule: transfer RNA, 68 nt
Filed under: Toxocara canis (dog roundworm)
Lineage: Eukaryota; Metazoa; Nematoda; Chromadorea; Rhabditida; Toxocaridae
Rfam family: tRNA
About the family: Transfer RNA (tRNA) molecules are approximately 80 nucleotides in length. Their secondary structure includes four short double-helical elements and three loops (D, anti-codon, and T loops). Further hydrogen bonds mediate the characteristic L-shaped molecular structure. tRNAs have two regions of fundamental functional importance: the anti-codon, which is responsible for specific mRNA codon recognition, and the 3' end, to which the tRNAs corresponding amino acid is attached (by aminoacyl-tRNA synthetases). tRNAs cope with the degeneracy of the genetic code in two manners: having more than one tRNA (with a specific anti-codon) for a particular amino acid; and 'wobble' base-pairing, i.e. permitting non-standard base-pairing at the 3rd anti-codon position.
Source: Rfam by way of RNAcentral
CAGGCAAUAGCUCAUAGAGCUCCCUCUUCGUAUGCGGGAAGACCUGGGUUCGAUUCCCGGCUGCUUAC